Long non-coding RNA from Zalophus californianus (California sea lion), 417 nucleotides. RefSeq lists it as uncharacterized. The record is from RefSeq and is a predicted model, not a curated record. NCBI's taxonomy places the organism in Eukaryota, Metazoa, Chordata, Mammalia, Carnivora, Otariidae. The transcript is spliced from 3 exons.
CGGGGAUCUUCUCCUUCCUCCGGAAUCCCCAAAGGGGGCGUGAGUGGCCGUCACGCUGCAGCUGCCCCCGCGGGGGCACCAUGGGCGCCCAGUAAUUCCUGGAGCCCCACUGUUGGUUGUCUAGGAGACUGUGUUUCCUUUCACGACAGUCAUUCAGGAGCAGUGAGGGCUGUGUUGAGAUUGGGAGGUCCACCUUUUCUAGGACUGACAGAAGGGAUCAUGGACACCAGAGAGCCAGGACCUGGCGAACUUCCACCUUUACUCCUCUGAGUCGCAAACAGAUGUGUUUCCAAGUACAGCAAGACGGUGACUACCUACAAACCAGGAAGAGGGUUCUCACCAGAUGUUGAAUCUGCAGAUCUUGAUCUUAGACUUCCCAGCCUCCAGAACAAUAAGGAAUAAAUGUUCACUAUUUAC